This 465-nucleotide ribosomal RNA is filed under the name Limnohabitans sp. RNAcentral describes it as "bacterial SSU rRNA". It matches the Rfam family "Bacterial small subunit ribosomal RNA", at positions 395 to 853 of the family's 1533-position model. The record is from RNAcentral. Lineage: Bacteria; Pseudomonadati; Pseudomonadota; Betaproteobacteria; Burkholderiales; Comamonadaceae.
UUCCGCGUGCAGGACGAAGGCCUUCGGGUUGUAAACUGCUUUUGUACGGAACGAAAAGGUCUCUAUUAAUACUAGGGGCUCAUGACGGUACCGUAAGAAUAAGCACCGGCUAACUACGUGCCAGCAGCCGCGGUAAUACGUAGGGUGCAAGCGUUAAUCGGAAUUACUGGGCGUAAAGCGUGCGCAGGCGGUUAUAUAAGACAGAUGUGAAAUCCCCGGGCUCAACCUGGGAACUGCAUUUGUGACUGUAUAGCUGGAGUGCGGCAGAGGGGGAUGGAAUUCCGCGUGUAGCAGUGAAAUGCGUAGAUAUGCGGAGGAACACCGAUGGCGAAGGCAAUCCCCUGGGCCUGCACUGACGCUCAUGCACGAAAGCGUGGGGAGCAAACAGGAUUAGAUACCCUGGUAGUCCACGCCCUAAACGAUGUCAACUGGUUGUUGGGUCUUCACUGACUCAGUAACGAAGCU